Molecule: transfer RNA, 75 nt
Filed under: Bacteroides sp.
Lineage: Bacteria; Pseudomonadati; Bacteroidota; Bacteroidia; Bacteroidales; Bacteroidaceae
Description: tRNA-Val
Rfam family: tRNA
About the family: Transfer RNA (tRNA) molecules are approximately 80 nucleotides in length.
Source: RNAcentral
AGGAGUAUAGCUCAGUUGGUUUAGAGCAUCUGUCUUACAAACAGAAGGUCAUAGGUUCGAAUCCUAUUACUCCUA